UACGAAGGGUGCAAGCGUUACUCGGAAUUACUGGGCGUAAAGCGUGCGUAGGUGGUGAGUUAAGUCUGUCGUGAAAGCCCCGGCUCAACCUGGGAAUGGCGAUGGAUACUGGCUCGCUAGAGUGCGGUAGAGGAGAGUGGAAUUCCCGGUGUAGCAGUGAAAUGCGUAGAGAUCGGGAGGAACAUCAGUUGCGAAGGCGGCUCUCUGGACCAGCACUGACACUGAGGCACGAAAGCUGGGGAGCGAACAGG
Molecule: ribosomal RNA, 251 nt
Filed under: uncultured bacterium
Lineage: Bacteria
Description: partial 16S ribosomal RNA
Rfam family: Bacterial small subunit ribosomal RNA
Source: RNAcentral